AUCCCSCGKGAAGGAUGMCGGUCCUAUGGAUUGUAAACUUCUUUUGUAUAGGAAUAAACCUAGAUMCGUGUAUCUAGCUGAAGGUACUAUACGAAUAAGCACCGGCUAACUCCGUGCCAGCAGCCGCGGUAAUACGGAGGGUGCAAGCGUUAUCCGGAUUUAUUGGGUUUAAAGGGUCCGCAGGCGGACCGAUAAGUCAGUGGUGAAAUCUCAUAGCUUAACUAUGAAACUGCCAUUGAUACUGUCGGUCUUGAGUAAAUUAGAGGUAGCUGGAAUAAGUAGUGUAGCGGUGAAAUGCAUAGAUAUUACUUAGAACACCAAUUGCGAAGGCAGGUUACCAUGAUUUAACUGACGCUGAGGGACGAAAGCGUGGGUAGCGAACAGGAUUAGAUACCCUGGUAGUCCACGCCGUAAACGAUGCUAACUCGUUUUUGGGGCGCAAGCCUCAGAGACCAAGCGAAAGUGAUAAGUUAGCCACCUGGGGAGUACGUUCGCAAGAAUGAAACUCAAAGGAAUUGACGGGGGCCCGCACAAGCGGUGGAUUAUGUGGUUUAAUUCGAUGAUACGCGAGGAACCUUACCAAGGCUUAAAUGGGAAUUGACAGGUUUAGAAAUAGACUCUCCUUCGGGCAAUUUUCAAGGUGCUGCAUGGUUGUCGUCAGCUCGUGCCGUGAGGUGUUAGGUUAAGUCCUGCAACGAGCGCAACCCCUGUCACUAGUUGCUAACAUUCAGUUGAGGACUCUAGUGAGACUGCCUACGCAAGUAGAGAGGAAGGUGGGGAUGACGUCAAAUCAUCACGGCCCUUACGCCUUGGGCCACACACGUAAUACAAUGGCCGGUACAGAGGGCAGCUACACAGCGAUGUGAUGCGAAUCUCGAAAGCCGGUCUCAGUUCGGAUUGGAGUCUGCAACUCGACUCUAUGAAGCUGGAAUCGCUAGUAAUCGCGCAUCAGCCAUGGCGCGGUGAAUACGUUCCCGGGCCUUGUACACACCGCCCGUCAAGCCAUGGAAGUCUGGGGUACCUG
RNAcentral lists this ribosomal RNA (1024 nucleotides) under Chryseobacterium sp. THB32. RNAcentral describes it as "bacterial SSU rRNA". It matches the Rfam family "Bacterial small subunit ribosomal RNA", at positions 394 to 1423 of the family's 1533-position model. The record is from RNAcentral. Lineage: Bacteria; Pseudomonadati; Bacteroidota; Flavobacteriia; Flavobacteriales; Weeksellaceae.